RNAcentral lists this ribosomal RNA (465 nucleotides) under uncultured bacterium. RNAcentral's name for it is "partial 16S ribosomal RNA". It matches the Rfam family "Bacterial small subunit ribosomal RNA", at positions 338 to 795 of the family's 1533-position model. The record is from RNAcentral.
CCUACGGGGGGCAGCAGUAGGGAAUCUUCCACAAUGGGCGAAAGCCUGAUGGAGCAACGCCGCGUGAGUGAAGAAGGUCUUCUGAUCGUAAAACCCUGUUUAUAGAGAAGAAAGUUCGUGCGAGUAACUGUUCACGUUUCGACGGUAUCUAACAAGAACGCCAAGGCUAAUUACGUGCCAGCAGCUGCGGUAAUACGUCGGUGGCAAGCGUUAUCCGGAUUUAUUGGGCGUAAAGGGAACGCAGGCGGUCUUUUAAGUCUGAUGUGAAAGCCUUCGGCUUAACCGGAGUAGUGCAUUGGAAACUGGGAGACUGGAGUGCAGAAGAGGAGGGCGGAACUCGAGGUGUAGCGGUGAAAUGCUUAGAUAUAUGGAAGAACACCAGUGGCGAAGGCGGCUCUCUGGUCUGUAACUGACGCUGAGGUUCGAAAGUGUGGGUAGCAAACAGGAUUAGAUACCCCUGUAGUC